UACGUAGGUGGCAAGCGUUAUCCGGAAUUAUUGGGCGUAAAGAGCUUGUAGGCGGUUUGUCGCGUCUGCUGUGAAAAUCCGGGGCUCAACCCCGGACUUGCAGUGGGUACGGGCAGACUAGAGUGUGGUAGGGGAGACUGGAAUUCCUGGUGUAGCGGUGAAAUGCGCAGAUAUCAGGAGGAACACCGAUGGCGAAGGCAGGUCUCUGGGCCACUACUGACGCUGAGAAGCGAAAGCGUGGGGAGCGAACAGGAUUAGAUACCCCGGUAGU
This 271-nucleotide ribosomal RNA is filed under the name uncultured prokaryote. Its description in RNAcentral is "partial 16S ribosomal RNA". It matches the Rfam family "Bacterial small subunit ribosomal RNA", at positions 524 to 794 of the family's 1533-position model. The record is from RNAcentral.